Molecule: ribosomal RNA, 253 nt
Filed under: uncultured bacterium
Lineage: Bacteria
Description: partial 16S ribosomal RNA
Rfam family: Bacterial small subunit ribosomal RNA
Source: RNAcentral
UACGUAGGGUGCAAGCGUUAAUCGGAAUUACUGGGCGUAAAGCGUGCGCAGGCGGUUAUGCAAGACAGAUGUGAAAUCCCCGGGCUCAACCUGGGAACUGCAUUUGUGACUGCAUAGCUAGAGUACGGUAGAGGGGGAUGGAAUUCCGCGUGUAGCAGUGAAAUGCGUAGAUAUGCGGAGGAACACCGAUGGCGAAGGCAAUCCCCUGGACCUGUACUGACGCUCACGCACGAAAGCGUGGGGAGCAAACAGG